GUGACAGAUUCUGCCUCAGCGGCUCUCAUCGCACUCAUCUGCAAGAUGAACACAUAAAAUCCUGAGAAGACUUCAAGUCUCAAUUGAAACCUCUUAAGCCAAGAAGCAUAGAUUGACUUCAAAACGCAAGCAACAUUGGUAGUCCCAGCAUCUCAUGUUUCCGAUUUUCCUGGUCUAUUAUUUCUCCAAGUCUCUGAUAGCAGAUGCAGCCUCCUCAGACUUGGAAGAAGGAAGGAGAUCAGCAAAACUUAGUUAUGUAGACUAAACAAAACAAUACUUAUAAAGAGAAAGUACAACCUUUGUAAAUCAAUAGCAGCCAACACCCUUUAUAAAGUCCCCUGACCUCCAAGAAAAGGUAUGGAUGAAGAUCCAGAAUUUGGGCCCUCUCCACCUAAUGUUUGGCUGUGGGUCACUGCAUCUGCUCCCAUCAUCUGCUAGAGGAAGCCUCUCUGAGGCUAUUGGGCUAGAAAAUGGGAGGUGAUAUGUGAUUUCCCUCUCUAUGCUGUGACAACCACUAGUGAAUAAAGAAACUGCUUUAGACCUGUAUCAGGGCACAACUUCGUUAGGCAGGGAAAACCAAGCUGAAUUCUGGGAGAAAGAAGGGCAGAGUCAAGGAGAAAACAUGGAGCCCCACUGGAGAUGGACACCAGAACUU
Long non-coding RNA from Alexandromys fortis (reed vole), 655 nucleotides. RefSeq lists it as uncharacterized. The transcript has 3 exons. Lineage: Eukaryota; Metazoa; Chordata; Mammalia; Rodentia; Cricetidae. The record is from RefSeq and is a predicted model, not a curated record.